Molecule: ribosomal RNA, 460 nt
Filed under: uncultured bacterium
Lineage: Bacteria
Description: partial 16S ribosomal RNA
Rfam family: Bacterial small subunit ribosomal RNA
Source: RNAcentral
CCUACGGGUGACAGCAGUGAGGAAUAUUGGUCAAUGGGCGCGAGCCUGAACCAGCCAAGUAGCGUGAAGGAUGACUGCCCUAUGGGUUGUAAACUUCUUUUAUCAAGGAAUAAAGUCAGGCACGUGUCCCUUGUUGUGUGUACUUUAUGAAUAAGGAUCGGCUAACUCCGUGCCAGCAGCCGCGGUAAUACGGAGGAUCCGAGCGUUAUCCGGAUUUAUUGGGUUUAAAGGGUGCCUAGGUGGGUUGUUAAGUCAGUUGUGAAAGUCUGGGGCUCAACCGUAAAAGUGCAAUUGAUACUGGCGGCCUUGAGUAGAGUUGAGGUAGGCGGAAUGCGUGGUGUAGCGGUGAAAUGCUUAGAUAUCACGCAGAACUCCGAUUGCGAAGGCAGCCUACUAAACUGCCACUGACGUUGAUGCACGAAAGUGUGGGUAUCAAACAGGAUUAGAUACCCUAGUAGUC